GAUAAACGCUGGCGGCGUGCAUAACACAUGCAAGUCGAACGAAGAGGAUUAAAAGAUUUCUUGGGAACGAAUUUAAUUGGAGUAGUGGCGGCCGGGUUAGUAACGCCUGAGUAACCUGCUUUGUACAAGGGGAUAGCCGUUGGAAACGACGAAUAAUACUCUAUCACAUUAAAUAAUCGCAUGAUAAUUUGAUAAAAGAUUUAUUGGCAUAAGAUGGACUUGCGUCUGAUUAGCUAGCUGGAGGAGUAAAAGCCGACUAAGGCAGCGAUCAGUACCGGGCUUGGGAGCGUGUACAGCCAGAUUGGGACAGGGACAAGACCCAGACUGCUGCGAGAGGCAGCAGUGAUGAAUUAUGCACAAUGAGGGAGACCCUGAUGCAGCGAGUCCGCGUGAUUUGGAAGUCCGUCGUGAAGUAAAAUUCUUUUGUAUGGGAAGAAAAUGACGGUACCAUACAAAUAAGGACCGGCUAAUUACGUG
Molecule: ribosomal RNA, 477 nt
Filed under: uncultured bacterium
Lineage: Bacteria
Description: partial 16S ribosomal RNA
Rfam family: Bacterial small subunit ribosomal RNA
Source: RNAcentral